This 328-nucleotide ribosomal RNA is filed under the name uncultured eukaryote. RNAcentral's name for it is "partial 18S ribosomal RNA". It matches the Rfam family "Eukaryotic small subunit ribosomal RNA", at positions 1470 to 1796 of the family's 1831-position model. The record is from RNAcentral.
CCCUUAGAUGUUCUGGGCUGCACGCGCGCUACACUGAUGCGUUCAACGAGUUUACGGCCUUGCCCGAUAGGGUUGGGUAAUCUUCUUAAAACGCAUCGUGAUGGGGAUAGAUUAUUGCAAUUAUUAAUUUUCAACGAGGAAUUCCUAGUAAGUGCGAGUCAUCAGCUCGUACUGAUUACGUCCCUGCCCUUUGUACACACCGCCCGUCGCUCCUACCGAUUGAGUGAUCCGGUGAGGCUUUGGGAUCUGAGCGGAAAGAGCGUUUCGCUGUUUCUGCUCGGAAAACUCAGUCGAACCUUAUCAUUUAGAGGAAGGAGAAGUCGUAACA